GACGAACGCUGGCGGCGUGCCUAAUACAUGCAAGUAGAACGCUGAAGCUUGGUGCUUGCACCGAGCGGAUGAGUUGCGAACGGGUGAGUAACGCGUAGGUAACCUGCCUGGUAGCGGGGGAUAACUAUUGGAAACGAUAGCUAAUACCGCAUAAAAUGGAUUAUCGCAUGAUAAUCGAUUGAAAGGUGCAAAUGCAUCACUACCAGAUGGACCUGCGUUGUAUUAGCUAGUUGGUGGGGUAACGGCUCACCAAGGCGACGACACAUAGCCGACCUGAGAGGGUGAUCGGCCACACUGGGACUGAGACACGGCCCAGACUCCUACGGGAGGCAGCAGUAGGGAAUCUUCGGCAAUGGACGGAAGUCUGACCGAGCAACGCCGCGUGAGUGAAGAAGGUUUUCGGAUCGUAAAGCUCUGUUGUAAGAGAAGAACGAGUGUGAGAGUGGAAAGUUCACACUGUGACGGUAUCUUACCAGAAAGGGACGGCUAACUACGUGCCAGCAGCCGCGGUAAUACGUAGGUCCCGAGCGUUGUCCGGAUUUAUUGGGCGUAAAGCGAGCGCAGGCGGUUAGAUAAGUCUGAAGUUAAAGGCUGUGGCUUAACCAUAGUACGCUUUGGAAACUGUUUAACUUGAGUGCAAGAGGGGAGAGUGGAAUUCCAUGUGUAGCGGUGAAAUGCGUAGAUAUAUGGAGGAACACCGGUGGCGAAAGCGGCUCUCUGGCUUGUAACUGACGCUGAGGCUCGAAAGCGUGGGGAGCAAACAGG
RNAcentral lists this ribosomal RNA (765 nucleotides) under uncultured Streptococcus sp. Its description in RNAcentral is "bacterial SSU rRNA". It matches the Rfam family "Bacterial small subunit ribosomal RNA", at positions 28 to 776 of the family's 1533-position model. Lineage: Bacteria; Bacillati; Bacillota; Bacilli; Lactobacillales; Streptococcaceae. The record is from RNAcentral.